This 61-nucleotide transfer RNA is filed under the name Trichopoda pennipes. RNAcentral's name for it is "tRNA-Cys". The record is from RNAcentral. RNAcentral also lists the same sequence under 1 other name. Lineage: Eukaryota; Metazoa; Arthropoda; Insecta; Diptera; Tachinidae.
AGCUUUAUAGUCAAUAAUGAUAUUAGACUGCAAUUCUAAAGGAGUAAUAAUACUAAAGCUU